RNAcentral lists this long non-coding RNA (466 nucleotides) under Prunus dulcis (almond). RNAcentral describes it as "sRNA ncRNA". The record is from RNAcentral. Lineage: Eukaryota; Viridiplantae; Streptophyta; Magnoliopsida; Rosales; Rosaceae.
UUUGUCCCCAAGUCAGAAUUUGAGCAUCUCCUCUCUGCCGACGCCGCGAUGCAAGAACCAUCGGAGAGGAGACAAAGUGGGGUGAUUCAGUCGAGUUCGAUGGGGGUGGUGUGAAAGGCCUUUAUUUGGGUAGAAAUUCAACGACUUAGUAUUGAAUCUGGAGUGAGGAUGUCUGUGUUGCAGAGCCUUUGAUGGGAGAAAAAAUUCAACGCCUUGGACUGAAUCUUGGUGAUUUUUUUUUUCCCCUCUUUUAAUAAUUUUUAAUAUUUUAAUAUUUUCUCUUAAUUUCAUCACAGCAUCAGACCCACUGUGAUCCUUUCUCCAUCAAACCCAUGUAAUUUUCGUUUUAUGGAGGAUUUGUUUUCUUCCAUGUAUGAGGUUAUGGAUUUGUGCUUCAAAAUAAGGUAUGAAAUUUUGAACAAUCAGGUUGUUGAUUUUCUUUAAAGUCUUGGAUUCUUGAAUUUUC